CCUACGGGGAGCUGCAGUGAGGAAUAUUGGUCAAUGGCCGGAAGGCUGAACCAGCCAAGCCGCGUGAAGGACGAAGGUGCCAAGCAUUGUAAACUUCUUUUGUCAAGGGACAAAAUCAGGCUCGAGAGCCUGACCGAGGGUACUUGAAGAAAAAGCAUCGGCUAACUCCGUGCCAGCAGCCGCGGUAAUACGGAGGAUGCGAGCGUUAUCCGGAUUUAUUGGGUUUAAAGGGUGCGUAGGCGGACUGUUAAGUCAGCGGGAAAAGCCCGGGGCUCAACCCCGGCGAGCCGUUUAAACUGGCUGUCUUGAGAUGUCGAGAGGUAUGCGGAAUGCGCAGUGUAGCGGUGAAAUGCUUAGAUAUUGCGCAGAACUCCGAUUGCGAAGGCAGCAUACCGGCGGCGAUCUGACGCUGAGGCACGAAAGCGUGGGUAUCGAACAGGAUUAGAUACCCCAGUAGUC
RNAcentral lists this ribosomal RNA (459 nucleotides) under uncultured bacterium. RNAcentral's name for it is "partial 16S ribosomal RNA". It matches the Rfam family "Bacterial small subunit ribosomal RNA", at positions 338 to 795 of the family's 1533-position model. The record is from RNAcentral.